Molecule: ribosomal RNA, 169 nt
Filed under: uncultured rumen bacterium
Lineage: Bacteria
Description: partial 16S ribosomal RNA
Rfam family: Bacterial small subunit ribosomal RNA
Source: RNAcentral
UACGGGAGGCAGCAGUGGGGAAUAUUGGGCAAUGGACGCAAGUCUGACCCAGCAACGCCGCGUGAAGGAAGAAGGCUUUCGGGUUGUAAACUUCUUUUAAGGGGGAAGAGCGGAAGACGGUACCCCUUGAAUAAGCCACGGCUAACUACGUGCCAGCAGCCGCGGUAAU